UUUAGCUCUCAUUUACAUAUUAAGUUACUAAAAAAGUACUAUUUAAAAAUAAGCAAAAUUUACAGAAAACAAAAUAGACUAAGAAAGAGAUUAAGUAAGUAUUAUUUUAUUUUUAAAGGGAUAUUAAUAUGGUCAUUUAUUUGGUUACUUUUAGGAAGUAUCAAAAAUAUGAUAUAUAAAAAGAAUUACAAUUAUGUAAUUGCAGAUGAUAAUACAAUAAUAUUAAGAGAACAUUUGUUGUAUAAUAAUCGCUUUGAAAAAAAAGAAGAAAAUAGCAUUUUGUUUAAUAAAACUUUUUAUUUUUUAAUGGAAAAUAAAAAUAAAUGUUUUUAUUAUGACCUGAACAAUUUUCAAAUGAAAUAUAAAAAAAAUAAAAAAAAUCUGUACACACAUUAUGUAAAUCACAUAUACAACUUUUUUUAUCUACUUUUUUUUAUAAUAAUAAAUAACUUUGUAGCUUUUUACAAAUUUAUUAUUCAAGAAUUAUUAAUAAACAUAUGUGCAUUAGGUGUAACUACGAAUUCGAUUGUCGCAGGUAUAUCCUGUAUUUAUUUUAUUUAUGAUUAUAUUACAACUUGCAUUUAUUAUUUACAUCUACCAAAUAUACAAUUGCAAAUAUAUAACAUAGAGGAAAGAAUCUUAAUUAAUUUUACAAGAUAUAUGUUUAAAAAAAAACAAUUAGAAAAAUUAAAUAGUAAUUUAAAUAUACUAGAAAAAGAAAAAUUUAUAUAUGAUAUUAUAACGGAUUCUAAAAAACCAUUAAGUUUUAAUAAUGGCAACGAAAGUGGAGUACCAGAAAAAAAGAACAUACUAAAAGAAGAUACAACAUGUUAUAAACAAAUGCAAAAACAAACAACUGUUGAUGAUCAUGUGAAAAUUAGUCAAAAUGACGUGGACACAAGUGAUAUACUUACUACUUCAUCUUCUUCUAUCACCCAGAUGGAUGUAAAAAAUCAAACAAAAAAAAAAGCAUCAUUAGUUAUGAAUAUAACAAAAUUGUUAAAAAGGAUGUAUACCUAUGAUAAUACUAACUGUUCGGAAAAUGUUUGUUCAAAAGGAUUGUGCUCUAACGACAUACUAUCCCAUAGUUACACACACCCUACCCAUACGUACCACGCGAACCUACACCAUACCAAUGAUAAUAUUUUACAAAAUUUUGAAUGUGAGCGAUAUAUAAAAUCUUACAAUCAACAUACAAAAUUAUAUAAUAACGUACAAAUUCCCUUCUAUAAUUGUUCCCAAAAAAAAAGGCCAAAUAAAUCUAUUAUUC
Molecule: long non-coding RNA, 1270 nt
Filed under: Piliocolobus tephrosceles (Ugandan red Colobus)
Lineage: Eukaryota; Metazoa; Chordata; Mammalia; Primates; Cercopithecidae
Description: lncRNA (ENSPTEG00000014229.1)
Source: RNAcentral